Molecule: ribosomal RNA, 482 nt
Filed under: uncultured bacterium
Lineage: Bacteria
Description: bacterial SSU rRNA
Rfam family: Bacterial small subunit ribosomal RNA
Source: RNAcentral
UUGAACGCUGGCGGAAUGCUUUACACAUGCAAGUCGAACGGCAGCACGGGGGCAACCCUGGUGGCGAGUGGCGAACGGGUGAGUAAUGUAUCGGAACGUACCCAGUCGUGGGGGAUAACUAUCCGAAAGGAUAGCUAAUACCGCAUAUGCCCUGAGGGGGAAAGGGGGGGAUCGCAAGACCUCUCGCUUUCGGAGUGGCCGAUAUCGGAUUAGCUAGUAGGUGAGGUAAAGGCUCACCUAGGCGACGAUCCGUAGCUGGUCUGAGAGGACGACCAGCCACACUGGAACUGAGACACGGUCCAGACUCCUACGGGAGGCAGCAGUGGGGAAUUUUGGACAAUGGGCGAAAGCCUGAUCCAGCCAUACCGCGUGAGUGAAGAAGGCCUUCGGGUUGUAAAGCUCUUUCAGCCGGAAAGAAAUCGCAUUCCUUAAUACGGGAUGUGGAUGACGGUACCGGAAGAAGAAGCACCGGCUAACUACGU